RNAcentral lists this ribosomal RNA (331 nucleotides) under uncultured bacterium. RNAcentral's name for it is "partial 16S ribosomal RNA". It matches the Rfam family "Bacterial small subunit ribosomal RNA", at positions 338 to 667 of the family's 1533-position model. The record is from RNAcentral.
CCUACGGGAGUCUGCAGUGAGGAAUCUUGGUCAAUGGGCGCGAGCCUGAACCAGCCAAGUCGCGUGAGGGAAGACGGUCCUAUGGAUUGUAAACCUCUUUUGUCGGGGAGCAAAAGACGCCACGCGUGGCGUUCCGAGAGUACCCGAAGAAAAAGCAUAGGCUAACUCCGUGCCAGCAGCCGCGGUAAUACGGAGGAUGCGAGCGUUAUCCGGAUUGCUUGGGGUGAACGGGUGCGCAGGCGGAAGAUCAAGUCAGCGGUAAAAUUGAGAUGCUCAAACUCUUCGAGCCGUUGAAACUGGUUUUCUUGAGUGAGCGAGAAGUAUGCGGAAU